This is a non-coding RNA of Phrynosoma platyrhinos (Desert horned lizard), 79 nucleotides long. The record is from the annotation of a GenBank genome assembly. Lineage: Eukaryota; Metazoa; Chordata; Lepidosauria; Squamata; Phrynosomatidae.
GGCUUUUAAGUGUGGUGUAGUGGUUUGAGCAUUGGAGACUAUCACUCUGGAGAUAAGGGUUCGAUUCUCUGCUCAGCCA